RNAcentral lists this ribosomal RNA (565 nucleotides) under Papiliotrema sp. RNAcentral's name for it is "partial large subunit ribosomal RNA". It matches the Rfam family "Eukaryotic large subunit ribosomal RNA", at positions 57 to 635 of the family's 3401-position model. Lineage: Eukaryota; Fungi; Basidiomycota; Tremellomycetes; Tremellales; Rhynchogastremaceae. The record is from RNAcentral.
AAAAGAAACUAACAAGGAUUCCCCUAGUAACGGCGAGUGAACCGGGAAAAGCUCAAAUUUGAAAUCUGGCGUGCUCAGUGCGUCCGAGUUGUAAUCUAUAGAGGUGUUUUCCGUGCCGGACCGUGUCCAAGUCCCUUGGAACAGGGUAUCAAAGAGGGUGACAAUCCCGUACUUGACACGACGACCGGUGCUCUGUGAUACAUCUUCUACGAGUCGAGUUGUUUGGGAAUGCAGCUCAAAAUGGGUGGUGAGUUCCAUCUAAAGCUAAAUAUUGGCGAGAGACCGAUAGCGAACAAGUACCGUGAGGGAAAGAUGAAAAGCACUUUGGAAAGAGAGUUAAACAGUACGUGAAAUUGUUAAAAGGGAAACGAUUGAAGUCAGUCGUGACCGAGAGGCUCAGCCGGCUCUGCCGGUGUAUUCCCCUCGGUCGGGUCAACAUCAGUUUUGUCCGGUGGAUAAGGGCGGUAGGAAGGUGGCACCCUCGGGUGUGUUAUAGCCUGCCGUCGCAUACAUCGGGUGAGACUGAGGAAUGCAGCUCGCCUUUAUGGCCGGGGUUCGCCCACGU